ACGACGCUCUCGCUAAGCUUGACUCAAGAUGGCCGCUAUUUAAACGCGCGAAACUAUCCGUUGCUUUCUCAUUCACAGUGGCCGAAUUUUAAGGUGCUAUACUGUUGAAUUUGAUUGAGUCCCAUUUGUCUUUCACAGGUGAAAGAGCAACUAUGGAUUCGUCGUCGCUCGUCGAAGCCCCGCGUCGAAUAGAUUUCGGUGCGGCUGACAAAGAACGGGAAAGCCUACCCGUUUAUUUGCGAAUCAAACCGAUUCAAGAGGAAGACCUUUCAAUCAAAGUGAUCGAUGCAACGACAGUCGAGACCAACCAUGCCGGGCGAGCAAAUAAGAAAGCCACGUUUACGCACAUUUUUUCUGGGACGGUUACUCAGGAGGAGGUUUUCAACGUAACCACAGCGUCCUUAGUGGACAAGUUUCUUGACGGUGCUAAUGUGAUGACUUUCGCGUAUGGUGUGACAUCGUCGGGUAAAACCUAUACCAUCAUGGGUGAGCGUUCAGAUCCCGGCGUUGUGCCCCGUACACUGGAAAAGAUUUUUGGAUCUUACAAAUCAAAAAUAAAGAGGUCGGUGCCCACUUACAAGCCGAAACUUUUUGAAGCCGCACAGGAGCUCACGUCGGCAGAGAUCGAGGAAUUGGAGCGCAUUAAGAGCUCACUUUUGACAAAAGGAAAAGGCGGCCCUAUCGGUUUCGAUCAGUAUGCGUUUGCUAACAUGACACGCGAUGCAUCUGAAUCGCCCACGAACACUACUAUCAAUGGAGCGGACUCAUGCUCCGUGUGGAUCUCUGUAUAUGAGAUUUACAAUGAAAUUAUUAGCGACCUACUGGAUGUAGCUUCAAGGAACAAACGUAAGGGGUUGAUGGUCGGACAGGACACUAAGGGACAAACUUUUGUGAAAGACCUUAUACAACUACCUGUUAAUUCAGCUGCUGAGGCCUUCGGGCUUCUGCAGAUAGCAAAGCAAAACCUUGCUAAGGCAUCAACCAAGUUGAACGACGCGUCGUCCCGUUCGCAUAUGGUAUUCACUGUUAAGAUGGUGCAUUGGGGUCUCGCUUUAGCUGAACCACUAGUAAACCAGUUUGUCAUUAGCGAUUUAGCCGGUAGUGAGAGACAGAGUAAAACCGGUACGACGGGCGUCAUUUUGAGGCAAGCGAGUGCAAUUAAUGGCUCCUUGCUUGUACUCGGCCGCUGUCUCGAAGCGUUACGCAAAAAAGACAAGGGCAUCUCGGCACCCUUCCGAGAUUCAAAGUUGACACGGAUGCUAAAUCCGUUCUUCACACUUGGUGGAUACGUAAGCCUUAUUAUAUGUAUAAACCCGCAUAUCUACCUCCAGGACGAAACCAUGGACACAAUCCGAUUCUCGGCCAUUGCUUCUGAAAUCGUCCAGUUUUCGGAUCGUCCUCUCGAGCGAUUGAGGCAGCUUCGCCGACUAACUCAGGGAUGCGUGGACAACAGUCCAUUGAAGGUCGGAUCAGUCGACGAUACGGAGGUCGAGUCCUGGCAAGAUGCAGUACAUCGUAAACUAGUGCGUCAGGGUGUAUCUUACAUCGAGGUGAAGGCGUCCUAUUUCAAUGACAUGGCUCGGGAUAUUUUACGGGCGGAAAAAAUGCUUGUCUCAAACGAAGAGGAGAUAAUGCGACUAAAGGAACGCCUUAAACAAGAGGACGAGGCAAAGGAAAAUAUUCACUUCAUGUACCAGGACAGAAUGAAAGAACAACGGGAUAAGUUCCUCAAGGAGAAGGCAGCGCUUCGAGAAAUGUAUGAGGAGGACCAGGAGGUAACAGUAGGAGAACUCGAGGAGCAGAUUCAAAUCUACAAAGAGAAAUACAUGAAGUAUAGGGAAGGGUACGCAAAAACAAGUGAAUACUUGAAGGAAAAAUUAUGGCCCGAACUGUACAUGUUCCGCGACCGCUUUGGCUACUUACCGGAAUUCCCUCCAGCCGACGGCUGUGACGACCGCGACGAAGAACAGCCACGACCCGAAAACACCAUUAGCUAUUGGCAGAACAAACUGCACGAAAAAGACGACGAACUUCGCGCAAUGAGGAAAAACCUCAACCAAGCAGUUGAGGAUGGAGCAUGCUUACGUCGGGAGUUAGUUGAGUUGGAACAAGCGCGGGAAAUCGCUGAGAACGACGCGAAAGACUCCAAAAAGGCCCUAAAAGAGCAAGCAUCCCUCAACGAACAGCUCAUGGACCAGACCAGAACCCUUCAAGCCGAGUUGACUGAUAGGGAGACGCUGGUUGACCAGGUUGCCGAAUUGAAGAGAGCUGCACAGAAUGCCGAGGAGAAUCACGAGUGUUUUAUAGUAGAUACACGCAUACAAAUCGAUAACCUACAAGCUGAACUGGAAUCCCUUAAAGCCGAGCUUCGUGAGAAAGAUAAGGACCUAGAAGAAUCUGCCCUGAAGGAAGACCUGGCUUUGCAGAAGCUCAGUUCAUUGCAAAAGGUUGUUGAGCGUUUAGAAGAACAAGUGGCAUCGAAAAGUGGCGAAAUUUCACUGCUGCAAGAAAUAAAUGCAGAAAAGGCCUUGCUUUCCGAACAGAUAGUUACUCUAGAAAGUCAACUGAAGGCAGCACGCGAGUCACUGAUAUCCGCGCGGGCGGACAUGGUAACCAUGCAAGAAGAGUUAGAAGCGGUUUCUGAGCGAGAACAAGAGCUCGCCGACCGUGAAGCACAGGUUACAGUCAGGCUUCGUGAAUUGAGAAGAUCUAGGGCAGCCGACCAGCAGCACGUGAACGCUUUAGAAGAAAUACGAGAUUUGCGCGAGAGACUAAAUCAGCAGCAAGAAGAGUUGGCUAAAGCGGCCGCCAUAAGACAGGCACAGAAUGACGAGUUGGAGCAACUUCGAGAAAAGGCGGAGUCAUUUGAAGCACUGGCGUUACAGCUGCAGAAAGUAUCGGAAGAGAGUAGGGAGUUCCGAGACCGCGUUCGUUGUCUCGAGGGAGAGAAACGCCGACUCGACGACGAGGUUAAAAGAACUCGUGCUCUAGAAGUUGAAAUUGAGUUUCUGACACACAAACUCGACAACCAGCAGCGCCGGGUAUUGCGCGACUGUCCUCAAACCGAAAAGCCAAGAAGGCGUCGCUCACUUUCGGUGACCGACGCCGAUAAUGACUCUGCGAGCAGAACUCUAAUAAUAAAGGGUGUCCCCAAAUCAGAAAAGCCACGACGACGACUAAGGUUAGGAGACGAAGAAAAUAUCUUGGACAAAACCCUUGACGGUACCAUAAGGGACCUCUCGCCGCUCCCGACACCUUACCGCACCCGCUCUAACAGGAAAAAAGCUCAAUACUUGGAUCACUGGCGAUAUCUUUUCAUUUACCCAUAUUUCGGUGCAGCUACGACAUUAACUACCCGUUCAACUUAGGAGAUAGGAUUAACCGAAUGGCCGAAGCCUGUCGACGUGCAGCAAGUUAACACACAGAAAUAACAGAACAUUGUCGCAUGAUUAUUAAAGCUUGUUGCAUAGUCCGGAUGCCCAACGCUCAUGUGCUUGCUCAUUCUGGCUAGUUAGUUCAUCAGGACUAAAUGACACAAACUAACUAAUAUACAUAUUCAUCCCUUUAGCAGCCGGAUUCCUCUAUUGAGCCGUCAUGUUGUUCGAACGCGCGUAGUUUAGGCGCUCGAAAUGUACGCAAAUUUUCUAUAGACAGGAAAUACGCACAUCAAUGCAGCUAUAAUGUAUCCGGCAUGUUCAAGAAUGGAUUUAUACUAACGUUGAGCUAUAGAGAAAUGAGCGAAUAUCUGACCUGUGAGCAACUUUGUGCCGCUCCUUUGGGUCGCAGAAGUUGAGAGAAGAAAGCAGAGAAGGCCGAAAUCGACCGCAAAACGGGCUCGAAUUGACCCAGUUAAUAAGCUGAAAGG
Molecule: non-coding RNA, 3865 nt
Organism: Varroa destructor (honeybee mite)
Lineage: Eukaryota; Metazoa; Arthropoda; Arachnida; Mesostigmata; Varroidae
Source: RefSeq, a predicted model, not a curated record